AGUGAACGCUGGCGGUAGGCCUAACACAUGCCAGUCGAACGGCAGCACAGUAAGAGCUUGCUCUUACGGGUGGCGAGUGGCGGACGGGUGAGGAAUACAUCGGAAUCUACUUUUUCGUGGGGGAUAACGUAGGGAAACUUACGCUAAUACCGCAUACGACCUACGGGUGAAAGCAGGGGAUCUUCGGACCUUGCGCGAUUGAAUGAGCCGAUGUCGGAUUAGCUAGUUGGCGGGGUAAAGGCCCACCAAGGCGACGAUCCGUAGCUGGUCUGAGAGGAUGAUCAGCCACACUGGAACUGAGACACGGUCCAGACUCCUACGGGAGGCAGCAGUGGGGAAUAUUGGGCAAUGGGCGCAAGCCUGAUCCAGCCAUACCGCGUGGGUGAAGAAGGCCUUCGGGUUGUAAAGCCCUUUUGUUGGGAAAGAAAAGAAGCAGGUUAAUACCCCGCUGUUCUGACGGUACCCAAAGAAUAAGCACCGGCUAACUUCGUG
Molecule: ribosomal RNA, 492 nt
Filed under: uncultured bacterium
Lineage: Bacteria
Description: partial 16S ribosomal RNA
Rfam family: Bacterial small subunit ribosomal RNA
Source: RNAcentral